AUUGAAAUACAAGAUGGCGGCCGCUACAAAAUGGCGGAUAACGUAGGUUUUAUCAAUCCCAUCAACAUGGGUAUCAAAUGAAAGGGCUUGACAAGAAGAAUACAGUGCACUAUACGACCUCAAUAUUUAAGAUGGGCCUUGCAAUAAUGAAGCACUAAAUGAAUUAAACAGAAUGCGAAAUAAAAACUAAAAACUAGAAAAUAAAAAUAGGUAAAA
RNAcentral lists this unclassified non-coding RNA (216 nucleotides) under Melitaea cinxia (Glanville fritillary). RNAcentral describes it as "misc RNA ENSMCXG00005016612.1". The record is from RNAcentral. Lineage: Eukaryota; Metazoa; Arthropoda; Insecta; Lepidoptera; Nymphalidae.